GAAACCGGGUGAUCUAGCCAUGGGCAGGUUGAAGGUUGAGUAACAUCAACUGGAGGACCGAACCGACUAAUGUUGAAAAAUUAGCGGAUGACUUGUGGCUAGGGGUGAAAGGCCAAUCAAACUCGGAGAUAGCUGGUUCUCCCCGAAAGCUAUUUAGGUAGCGCCUCGGACGAAUACUACUGGGGGUAGAGCACUGUUAAGGCUAGGGGGUCAUCCCGACUUACCAACCCUUUGCAAACUCCGAAUACCAGUAAGUACUAUCCGGGAGACACACGGCGGGUGCUAACGUCCGUCGUGGAGAGGGAAACAACCCAGACCGCCAGCUAAGGUCCCAAAGUAUUGCUAAGUGGGAAACGAUGUGGGAAGGCUCAGACAGCUAGGAUGUUGGCUUAGAAGCAGCCAUCAUUUAAAGAAAGCGUAAUAGCUCACUAGUCGAGUCGGCCUGCGCGGAAGAUGUAACGGGGCUAAGCAAUACACCGAAGCUGCGGCAAUAUCUUUUAGAUAUUGGGUAGGGGAGCGUUCUGUAAGCCGUUGAAGGUGAAUCGUAAGGUUUGCUGGAGGUAUCAGAAGUGCGAAUGCUGACAUGAGUAACGACAAAGGGGGUGAAAAACCUCCUCGCCGGAAGACCAAGGGUUCCUGUCCAACGUUAAUCGGGGCAGGGUGAGUCGACCCCUAAGGUGAGGCCGAAAGGCGUAAUCGAUGGGAAACGGGUUAAUAUUCCCGUACUUCUGACUAUUGCGAUGGGGGGACGGAGAAGGCUAGGUGGGCCAGGCGACGGUUGUCCUGGUUCAAGUGCGUAGGCUUGAGAGUUAGGUAAAUCCGGCUCUCUUUAAGGCUGAGACACGACGUCGAGCUGCUACGGCAGUGAAGUCAUUGAUGCCAUGCUUCCAGGAAAAGCCUCUAAGCUUCAGAUAGUCAGGAAUCGUACCCCAAACCGACACAGGUGGUCGGGUAGAGAAUACCAAGGCGCUUGAGAGAACUCGGGUGAAGGAACUAGGCAAAAUGGUACCGUAACUUCGGGAGAAGGUACGCUCUUGAUGGUGAAGUCCCUCGCGGAUGGAGCUGACGAGAGUCGCAGAUACCAGGUGGCUGCAACUGUUUAUUAAAAACACAGCACUGUGCAAAAUCGCAAGAUGACGUAUACGGUGUGACGCCUGCCCGGUGCCGGAAGGUUAAUUGAUGGGGUUAGCGCAAGCGAAGCUCUUGAUCGAAGCCCCGGUAAACGGCGGCCGUAACUAUAACGGUCCUAAGGUAGCGAAAUUCCUUGUCGGGUAAGUUCCGACCUGCACGAAUGGCGUAAUGAUGGCCACGCUGUCUCCACCCGAGACUCAGUGAAAUUGAAAUCGCUGUGAAGAUGCAGUGUACCCGCGGCUAGACGGAAAGACCCCGUGAACCUUUACUACAGCUUGGCACUGAACAUUGAACCUACAUGUGUAGGAUAGGUGGGAGGCUAUGAAGACGUGACGCCAGUUGCGUUGGAGCCGUCCUUGAAAUACCACCCUUGUAUGUUUGAUGUUCUAACUUAGCCCCAUUAUCUGGGGUGAGGACAGUGCCUGGUGGGUAGUUUGACUGGGGCGGUCUCCUCCCAAAGAGUAACGGAGGAGCACGAAGGUGGGCUAAUCACGGUUGGACAUCGUGAGGUUAGUGCAAUGGCAUAAGCCCGCUUAACUGCGAGAAUGACGGUUCGAGCAGGUGCGAAAGCAGGUCAUAGUGAUCCGGUGGUUCUGUAUGGAAGGGCCAUCGCUCAACGGAUAAAAGGUACUCCGGGGAUAACAGGCUGAUACCGCCCAAGAGUUCAUAUCGACGGCGGUGUUUGGCACCUCGAUGUCGGCUCAUCACAUCCUGGGGCUGAAGUCGGUCCCAAGGGUAUGGCUGUUCGCCAUUUAAAGUGGUACGCGAGCUGGGUUUAGAACGUCGUGAGACAGUUCGGUCCCUAUCUGCCGUGGGCGUUGGAAGAUUGAAGGGGGCUGCUCCUAGUACGAGAGGACCGGAGUGGACGAACCUCUGGUGUUCGGGUUGUGUCGCCAGACGCAUUGCCCGGUAGCUAAGUUCGGAAUUGAUAAGCGCUGAAAGCAUCUAAGCGCGAAGCGAGCCCUGAGAUGAGUCUUCCCUGACAGUUUAACUGUCCUAAAGGGUUGUUCGAGACUAGAACGUUGAUAGGCAGGGUGUGUAAGCGUUGUGAGGCGUUGAGCUAACCUGUACUAAUUGCCCGUGAGGCUUAACCAU
Molecule: ribosomal RNA, 2226 nt
Filed under: Vibrio cholerae
Lineage: Bacteria; Pseudomonadati; Pseudomonadota; Gammaproteobacteria; Vibrionales; Vibrionaceae
Description: partial 23S ribosomal RNA
Rfam family: Bacterial large subunit ribosomal RNA
Source: RNAcentral